This 86-nucleotide transfer RNA is filed under the name Candidatus Saccharimonadota bacterium. RNAcentral's name for it is "tRNA-Tyr". It matches the Rfam family "tRNA". From Rfam's summary of the family: Transfer RNA (tRNA) molecules are approximately 80 nucleotides in length. Their secondary structure includes four short double-helical elements and three loops (D, anti-codon, and T loops). RNAcentral also lists the same sequence under 1 other name. The record is from RNAcentral. Lineage: Bacteria; Candidatus Saccharimonadota.
GCUGAGGUAGUGAAGCGGUCAAACACAGCAGACUGUAAAUCUGCCGGCAUUCGCCUUCGAAGGUUCGAAUCCUUCCCUCAGCACCA